CCGAAGAACACAGAACAGGAAGGGGAGGGACUCUCCGUUGGACCGGAGCCGUAUAUGUUCGUCGCUCCGGUCACAUCCAGUCCUUUACUCGCGGCUCGGUGAGGGGACACGGACCACGGCUACACCGUUACCAGUUUCUUCUACAACCCUCACGCCAUGACCGUUAAAAGAAGAGAGAGAGAGACGGGAGUCGCCCACUUUCUGUCGCCGAGUGGUUCAGCUGGUCUCGAAGAGGCCUGACUGUUCAGUCAGAGAGGACAAUCACUCGCUUGGAAGCAUGCUGGAGCUGGAGUCCUGACGACUUGCUUGAAGAAACGGAAAACGACUCGCCUUGAAGAUGCAGCUUCUGAGAGUAAAUUUGAAGCAGAAACAGAUGACGGUGGGGAGGCCGAGGGUCGGAUGGAUCUGCGUUUAGCAGAGUGAAGACUUUGGAGCUGGCUGAACUCGAUCCCUCAGGGACGAUGUGAUGGUACUGAGAUUCAAGUUGAACGGGACCUCGUCAGGUGGGAGAGCUGGUAAGAAUGAGGAGGCUUCAAACAUCCAAGGCCCAUGUGUUUCAGGGGAUCGAAGUUCGUAUUGACCUGGGGAACACGGCUCGGUUUGAGAGCUGGUAGAGUCAUGGUUCAACACAGAGGAAAUAAAUACUCCUGAUGGUCCUGCUGAUGUCAGGCAACUGGUGAUCUGGUUCAUUUGAAUGGGUUCCCCAACACUUUAUGCAAAUAUUGUCACCGUCCAGAAAAGUGCUGCCAUCGAGCUGUACAACAAACCUGAGGGAAGAAACUUAUCAUUUUUAUCAUGUUUAGUGGUGAACAAAAUAAUGGAACCUACAGUCAUGGUGUUAAAAUAAUGUUGAAACUAUUGCAUCGCACUGUCAAGUUGGUGUCGUUUGAAUAAACAGUUACUUGGUUAACUUCUAAA
Long non-coding RNA from Xiphias gladius (swordfish), 918 nucleotides. RefSeq lists it as uncharacterized. The transcript is spliced from 6 exons. The record is from RefSeq and is a predicted model, not a curated record. NCBI's taxonomy places the organism in Eukaryota, Metazoa, Chordata, Actinopteri, Istiophoriformes, Xiphiidae.